UACGGAGGGUGCAAGCGUUAUCCGGAUUCACUGGGUUUAAAGGGUGCGUAGGUGGGUUGGUAAGUCAGUGGUGAAAUCUCCGAGCUUAACUUGGAAACUGCCAUUGAUACUAUCAGUCUUGAAUGUUGUGGAGGUGAGCGGAAUAUGUCAUGUAGCGGUGAAAUGCUUAGAUAUGACAUAGAACAUCUAUUGCGAAGGCAGCUCACUACGCAAAUAUUGACACUGAGGCACGAAAGCGUGGGGAUCAAACAGG
Molecule: ribosomal RNA, 253 nt
Filed under: uncultured bacterium
Lineage: Bacteria
Description: partial 16S ribosomal RNA
Rfam family: Bacterial small subunit ribosomal RNA
Source: RNAcentral